Molecule: ribosomal RNA, 777 nt
Filed under: Triticum aestivum (bread wheat)
Lineage: Eukaryota; Viridiplantae; Streptophyta; Magnoliopsida; Poales; Poaceae
Description: partial small subunit ribosomal RNA
Source: RNAcentral
UUCAUAUCAUUUGAUUUCGUGUUCAUUCUACAUCUCAUCAAAAAGAUUAUGAAGAUCACUGAUGUGUUGUGUCAGAAACUCCAAUACAAAUCUUUGGAUAUUUUAAAUGCAAUGGAUUCUGUUUCUAACACAAAGGUCCUACUUGGUGAGCUAAGGUAACAUGGUUGGGACUCUCUUUUAGAGGAGGUCAAAUCUUUUUGUGUGAAGCACGAGAUUGAUAUCCCAGAUUUGGACCGCAAGUAUGUUGAUGUUACCAAAUCUCGAAAUAAGCACGACAACACAACAACGCUCCACCACUACAAAGAGGAUGUUUUCAGUGUUGCAAUUGAUCAACAACUGAGUGAACUGAAUGAUCGAUUCAGUACACAAGCAACUGAGCUCCUUACUCUCUGUUCAUCACUGGAUCCAAGGCAUGGAUCUUUUGAUAUCCCAAAGAUAAGCACUCUUGCAGAAAAAUUCUAUCCUGCUGAUUUUUCAAGUCAAGAAUUAGCUCAGUUGGAAAGUCAGGUACCUCAUUUUCAGCUAGAUGUGUGCAACCAUCCAGAACUGCCGCGACUAGUUAUCACUCUCCCAGUCUCAACGGCAACUGCAGAGUGGGCUUUUUCGGCUAUGAAAAUUGUCAAGACACAUCUUCGAAGUAAAAUGGGAGAUGAUUUGCUUUGCCAUUGCAUGAUAAUUUACAUAGAAAAAUUAGCAGCUAAGAUAUCUUCUAAAAUUAUUAAUAUUUUUGAUCUUAUUGGCAAUCGUAGAGGCCACUUUAAAUUAAUAGGAAUGUAA